AACUAGCCUUAGCGAGGCCAUGGGGGAAAAAGUCUAACUGGCGGAACUCCUGGGAACUGGGGCGAUGGGCUCUUAGUAUCGGAGGAUUGGAGCCAUCUGAUUUUUACCUGAAAUUCCUUAGUCUCUCCUGUGUUGGGGAAAUGGUCACCUUGCCUUCAGGGACCUGGGCUUUCAGCUGUCCAUACCUGGCCCUGGUUGAUGGCGGCAUGCUGGGCAGUGCACGUGAAGACGCACAUGCGCUGCUGGGUUAGGGUCUCCCCGACUGAGCUGGUCUCGGCAAGUGGUGUCCAUUCGUGGGGGCUCAAAUCCAGGUCGAAGGGUCGCCAGAGCAACAGUUGGAAUGGAAAACCAGCUGGAGGACACAGGAGUACUCUUAAAGCAAUCCCCGUGAUACAGCAUUACCUGAAAAGAAGAUAACCUGGGGUAGAGGUUAUGCUUGUGUUUCUCCAGGCCAAAAUCAACAGCUGAUCUGGAUACCAUCAAUACACCUGAAACCUUAGCAUAAGCCAGAUUACAGGAGGAUCCCGAGGACCCCCCAGUUGCAGCCAUGUCAAGACUGAUGCUGAG
Molecule: long non-coding RNA, 567 nt
Organism: Homo sapiens (human)
Lineage: Eukaryota; Metazoa; Chordata; Mammalia; Primates; Hominidae
Gene: MIR497HG
Product: mir-497-195 cluster host gene
Source: Ensembl